RNAcentral lists this ribosomal RNA (443 nucleotides) under uncultured bacterium. RNAcentral's name for it is "partial 16S ribosomal RNA". It matches the Rfam family "Bacterial small subunit ribosomal RNA", at positions 338 to 795 of the family's 1533-position model. The record is from RNAcentral.
CCUACGGGUGUCAGCAGUGGGGAAUAUUGGGCAAUGGGCGCACGCCUGACCCAGCAACGCCGCGUGAAGGAAGAAGGCUUUCGGGUUGUAAACUUCUUUUCUGAGGGACGAAGAAAGUGACGGUACCUCAGGAAUAAGCCACGGCUAACUACGUGCCAGCAGCCGCGGUAAUACGUAGGUGGCAAGCGUUAUCCGGAUUGAUUGGGUGUAAAGGGCGUGUAGGCGGGAAAGCAAGUCAGAUGUGAAAACUCAGGGCUCAACCCUGAGCCUGCAUUUGAAACUGUUUUUCUUGAGUGCUGGAGAGGCAAGCGGAAUUCCGGGUGUAGCGGUGAAAUGCGUAGAUAUACGGAGGAACACCAGUGGCGAAGGCGGAUUGCUGGACAGUAACUGACGCCGAGGCGCGAAAGCGUGGGGAGCAAACAGGAUUAGAUACCCUGGUAGUC